UACGAAGGGGGCUAGCGUUGUUCGGAAUCACUGGGCGUAAAGCGCACGUAGGCGGACUUUUAAGUCAGAGGUGAAAUCCCAAGGCUCAACCUUGGAACUGCCUUUGAUACUGGGAGUCUUGAGUUCGGGAGAGGUGAGUGGAACUGCGAGUGCAGAGGUGAAAUUCGUAGAUAUUCGCAAGAACACCAGUGGCGAAGGCGGCUCACUGGCCCGAUACUGACGCUGAGGUGCGAAAGCGUGGGGAGCAAACAGG
Molecule: ribosomal RNA, 253 nt
Filed under: uncultured bacterium
Lineage: Bacteria
Description: partial 16S ribosomal RNA
Rfam family: Bacterial small subunit ribosomal RNA
Source: RNAcentral